Molecule: transfer RNA, 73 nt
Filed under: Pseudomonadota bacterium
Lineage: Bacteria; Pseudomonadati; Pseudomonadota
Also listed under: 1 other name
Description: tRNA-Ala
Rfam family: tRNA
About the family: Transfer RNA (tRNA) molecules are approximately 80 nucleotides in length. Their secondary structure includes four short double-helical elements and three loops (D, anti-codon, and T loops).
Source: RNAcentral
GGGGAGUUAGCUCAGGUGGUAGAGCGCCAGAAUCGCACUCUGGAGGUCAGCGGUUCGAGUCCGCUACUCUCCA